AUUGUAAGGGUGUUGUGACAAUGCAGCAGUUGGUACAAAUGCUGACAUUGACUAAGAAAAAGAGCCAAGAUGAUCAUCAUUCUUGUCACUUUCACUGCAUCGCUCUGCCUUGCAGGGUCCGCUUCAGCUGCUCAAAAUGUUUACCAGACUCCUCCUGACUUGAUCAAGAAUAAGGAGAAAUUUGCAGAGCUUCACUGUUCUCACUCUAUACCGAGCUAUCAGGUCAUUCUGUGGUAUAAACAGUAUGAGAACAAGUUCCAUCUUCUUGGAUAUCUGAAUCUUGGCUCAAACUUUCCUGAAGAAGCCCUAAAAAACAAAAUCACAUUAGAUGGAAAUGGACGUAAUAACAGCACACUUACUAUCAACAAUCUGCAGCUAAAUGACAGUGCAGUUUACUUCUGUGCAGCAAGUCAGGCUAGCUAUUCAAACGCGGAAUUUGGAAAAGGGACCAAACUAACAGUUCUCGAACCCAACACAACCAUCAGCAGACCUACUGUGAACCUGCUGCCACCUUCUUCAGGAGAGCUCUACAAUGACAUGAAGAAAGUGACAUUGGUUUGCCUAGCUGACCGUUUCUAUCCUGACCAUAUUACAUUUGCCUGGCAGAAGAAUGGGAUUAACAUAAAGGAUGGAGUUGCAACAGACCACAGUGCCCUACAAGAUCCACAAACAAAGUUUUACACAAUCUCUAGUAGACUAAGUGUUGAUAAAACUGAUUGGGAAGACCCCAAAAACAACUUCACCUGCACUGUUAGUUUCUAUGAUGGAACUAAGUAUCAUUCUCAUCCAUAUACCCUAAAGAAACCAAAAGCUGGUGUACGAGCAAGUAUACUGACCACAGUCCGCUUUGGCUACUUCUUGUUACUGAGCAAGAGUCUGGUGUACGCUCUGUUUGUUGCCAUGUUGGUGUGGAAAUGCAAGCCUACUAAAGAGAUGUCGGUGCUGAGAGAGACCUGAGGCAUUUUGAAGAAAUGUGAGGAACAAUUGUAAAAUGGGACAUUUUUAUUUUUUCCUGACUAAUCUGCAUUCUGUUAUGCUUUACUGGAUAUUAGCUGAGCGAUUAAGUAUGUUUUCUGCCUGAAUUAUCUAGUUUGUUUUUAAAACUGAAAGUAAAAAUUCUUACUUUUUGAAAAAUCUAGUUUACUGUAUUUUCACAUUUAUUUCAAUAUACUGUUGAAUAUACUGUUGAAAUGUUGUAUAUCAUUGCUUAUUUUCAUGACCUAUAAAAUCAUCCAAAACCUUUUUUA
Molecule: non-coding RNA, 1247 nt
Organism: Pygocentrus nattereri (red-bellied piranha)
Lineage: Eukaryota; Metazoa; Chordata; Actinopteri; Characiformes; Serrasalmidae
Source: the annotation of a RefSeq genome assembly